Dalotia coriaria is the source of this 1345-nucleotide long non-coding RNA. RefSeq lists it as uncharacterized. The record is from RefSeq and is a predicted model, not a curated record. The transcript is spliced from 3 exons. Lineage: Eukaryota; Metazoa; Arthropoda; Insecta; Coleoptera; Staphylinidae.
UAACCUCACAAAUUCAGCAUCGGAUUACGGUUUACUUCGGCCAUUUGGUAGGCGCUUCGUAUUUCAUCGUGAUGCCUAACCUUUCAAAAUAAAAGUUUUGUUAAACAUAAAAGUGGAUUUCAACAUUCGAAAUUUCCUCGACGCGAAGAGCAAAUAUUAUGCAGCACGACGCAAAUGAACUCCACGUUAUCUCGAACGUGUUUUACAUGACAUUCUUGUCAGCCAUCAAAUUAACUCGUGCAGCUCGUAACUUCGUAACCAUUGCGUCUGCGAAGCACAACUAGCAGUCGGUAUAAACGGACUCAAAGGUGGAAUAACAGCGUCUUCCUGUGAACCUAUUACCAGAAGAAUGGGUAAGAAAAUGAAACGAAAUGAAAAGAAGUCACCGCUUGUCAAGUUACGAAGUUAAGCGAAGCUGAAACGUCCGCGUAAAAAUCGUGCCUCAAAUGUUAAUAAUUUUACGUGCAAUGGUUUCACGUUGAGUCAGUCAUUCCAAACAAGGAUGCACUCGACUGCAGUAGGAGAUACAUGCAAAUAAUGAAGACGCACCAGACCGGGAAUGUCAAGAAACUGAAAACAAUUUCAGCAAGACUAAACCAACUAAUUGCAUUUGAGUGUACAAACUUCGUUUGAUAAACUUUACAAGACAUUUAACACAUUCUACGCUAAUAUUUCUGAGAUAUUUUUAUAUAAUACUAAUAUUUUUCUCAAUUUCAGCAAGCUAGUUGUAAUCAAAUCAAGAAGAAUUCGUCGCUGUCGCAUUAGACAAUAAAACACAAAACACGUGCGACUGUGGUUUGGGUGUACUCACUUUUUUUAAAAAUUUUAUAUCAUAUAUAUUCACAUAACUUACACAUAAUUCACACACGCACACACUACGUAUAGCAUACAAAGGCUGUUCUUGACGAGUUCACAAAAGUAUUGUGUGUGCAUCCGAUGUGCACGCCUGCUGUGCUUGCCGAUCGGCUCGUGAACGUGGGCACGACGACGAAACAAAGUCGACGCGAUGUGUAUAUGGAGGACUGCAGGAGUGCAACGCGCCCGACGCCAGCGAACCGGCGACUGGAGAACUCAACGUCGAAUUAACCAGUCGGGCCCCGGCCCCAGUCUGGCCUGACCUGGUGUAGAGCACACGAGCAAUGACGUCGAAGUUGAAGGUGUAACAUUAAAAUCGAUGUCGUAUGAUUUCAUACGUACGCAAAUAAACGAAGGUUAAUUAGCUUCUUUAUGUGCCUUUUGUACAUCCAAACGUAUUUACCUGCCCUAACCUCAAAUGUAUUUCUAUCCUGACCAUCCUGUAGAUGGCUUAAUAAGUGUAAUGUUAGUUAUUCUAAUUAAUCCCAAC